UACGGAGGGUGCAAGCGUUAUCCGGAUUUACUGGGUUUAAAGGGUGUGUAGGCGGACUUUUAAGUCAGAGGUGAAAUCUCCGGGCUCAACCCGGAAACUGCCCCUGAUACUAUUAGUCUUGAAUAUUGAUGAGGUGGGCGGAACGGGUCAUGUAGCGGUGAAAAUGCUUAGAGAUGACCCGGAAACACCAAUUGCGAAGGCACUCACUGGGCAAUUAUU
Molecule: ribosomal RNA, 219 nt
Filed under: uncultured bacterium
Lineage: Bacteria
Description: partial 16S ribosomal RNA
Rfam family: Bacterial small subunit ribosomal RNA
Source: RNAcentral